Molecule: unclassified non-coding RNA, 329 nt
Filed under: soil metagenome
Description: partial contains 5.8S ribosomal RNA, internal transcribed spacer 2, and large subunit ribosomal RNA
Rfam family: 5.8S ribosomal RNA (bases 1-120)
Source: RNAcentral
GAUGAAGAACGUAGCGAAAUGCGAUAAGUAAUGUGAAUUGCAGAAUUCAGUGAAUCAUCGAAUCUUUGAACGCACAUUGCGCCCUCUGGUAUUCCGGGGGGCAUGCCUGUUCGAGCGUCAUUAUAACCACUCAAGCUCUCGCUUGGUAUUGGGGUUCGCGGUUUCGCGGCCCCUAAAAUCAGUGGCGGUGCCUGUCGGCUCUACGCGUAGUAAUACUUCUCGCGAUUGAGUCCGAUAGGUCUACUUGCCAGUAACCCCCAAUUUUUACAGGUUGACCUCGGAUCAGGUAGGGAUACCCGCUGAACUUAAGCAUAUCAAUAAGCGGAGGA